Molecule: ribosomal RNA, 491 nt
Filed under: uncultured bacterium
Lineage: Bacteria
Description: bacterial SSU rRNA
Rfam family: Bacterial small subunit ribosomal RNA
Source: RNAcentral
AUUGAACGCUGGCGGCAUGCCUUACACAUGCAAGUCGAACGGUAACGGGCCUUCGGGUGCCGACGAGUGGCGAACGGGUGAGUAAUGUAUCGGAACGUACCUUUCAGUGGGGGAUAACGUAGCGAAAGUUACGCUAAUACCGCAUAUUCUGUGAGCAGGAAAGCAGGGGAUCGCAAGACCUUGCGCUGAUUGAGCGGCCGAUGUCAGAUUAGCUAGUUGGUGAGGUAAAGGCUCACCAAGGCGACGAUCUGUAGCGGGUCUGAGAGGAUGAUCCGCCACACUGGAACUGAGACACGGUCCAGACUCCUACGGGAGGCAGCAGUGGGGAAUUUUGGACAAUGGGGGCAACCCUGAUCCAGCCAUGCCGCGUGAGUGAAGAAGGCCUUCGGUUGUAAUCGCUGUCAGUGGGGAGGAAAGUAUUGGUGGGUUCGUCCCUCUAGUUUGACCUAUCCGCACGAGGAAGGACGGGCUAAGUUCGUGCAGCAGCCGAC